This 253-nucleotide ribosomal RNA is filed under the name uncultured bacterium. RNAcentral describes it as "partial 16S ribosomal RNA". It matches the Rfam family "Bacterial small subunit ribosomal RNA", at positions 524 to 776 of the family's 1533-position model. The record is from RNAcentral.
GACGUAGGGCGCGAGCGUUGUCCGGAUUUAUUGGGCGUAAAGAGCUCGUAGGCGGCUUGUUGCGUCGACUGUGAAAACCCGCGGCUUAACUGCGGGCUUGCAGUUGAUACGGGCAGGCUAGAGUUCGGUAGGGGAGACUGGAAUUCCUGGUGUAGCGGUGAAAUGCGCAGAUAUCGGGAGGAACACCAGUGGCGAAGGCGGCACUCUGGGCCGGAACUGACGCUGAGGAGCGAAAGCGUGGGGAGCGAACAGG